GGAAGGCUCUGGGUCACCUCCCCACCCAUGUUUAUUGUACCUUGUUGCUUCGGCGGGCCCGCCUCACGGCCGCCGGGGGGCUUCUGCCCUCUGGCCCGCGCCCGCCGAAGACACCAUUGAACACUGUCUGAAGAUUGCAGUCUGAGCAAUUAGCUAAAUAAGUUAAAACUUUCAACAACGGAUCUCUUGGUUCCGGCAUCGAUGAAGAACGCAGCGAAAUGCGAUACGUAAUGUGAAUUGCAGAAUUCAGUGAAUCAUCGAGUCUUUGAACGCACAUUGCGCCCCUUGGUAUUCCGGGGGGCAUGCCUGUCCGAGCGUCAUUGCUGCCCUCAAGCACGGUUGGUGUGUUGGGCCCCGUCCUCCUUCCCGGGGGACGGGCCCGAAAGGCAGCGGCGGCACCGCGUCCGGUCCUCGAGCGUAUGGAGCUUUGUCACCCGCUCUUGUAGGCCCGGCCGGCGCUUGCCGACAACCAUCAAUCUUUUUUCAGGUUGACCUCGGAUCAGGUAGGGAUACCCGCUGAACUUAAGCAUAUCAAUAAGCAGGGG
This 545-nucleotide ribosomal RNA is filed under the name Penicillium corylophilum. RNAcentral's name for it is "eukaryotic LSU rRNA". The stretch from base 167 to 320 matches the Rfam family "5.8S ribosomal RNA". Lineage: Eukaryota; Fungi; Ascomycota; Eurotiomycetes; Eurotiales; Aspergillaceae. The record is from RNAcentral.